GAGCCUGCGGCUUAAUUUGACUCAACACGGAAAUUACCAGGUCCAGACAUAGUAAGGAUUGACAGACUGAGAGCUCUUUCGAGAUUCAUGGGUGGUGGUGCAUGGCCGUUCUUAGUUGGUGAUUUGUCUGGUUAAUUCCGUUAACGAACGAGACAGCUAACUAGCUAUGCUAGCCAGCUUCUUAGAGGGACUAUUAGUUUGUCCUUAGAAGCUGAUGUAUUGCUAGCUUCUCGCGGGAUGGUUGAAGAUUAGCGAAAAUUCUUUAUGGCAAGUGAAUACCAUGGUAUGAUGUGAGUUAGUUGAUGAUACAUCCGUGCUUCACCCGGGCCUGUCGGCCAAGGCUA
This 344-nucleotide non-coding RNA is filed under the name Ipomoea nil (Japanese morning glory). Its description in RNAcentral is "Eukaryotic small subunit ribosomal RNA". It matches the Rfam family "Eukaryotic small subunit ribosomal RNA", at positions 1179 to 1409 of the family's 1831-position model. The record is from Rfam by way of RNAcentral. Lineage: Eukaryota; Viridiplantae; Streptophyta; Magnoliopsida; Solanales; Convolvulaceae.